UACAGAGGGGGCAAGCGUUAUUCGGAAUUAUUGGGCGUAAAGGGCGCGUAGGCGGCUUUGCAAGUGACGGGUGAAAGCCCUCGGCUUAACCGAGGAACUGCCUGUCAGACUGUAAGGCUUGAGACCGGGAGAGGUGAGUGGAAUUCCCAGUGUAGCGGUGAAAUGCGUAGAUAUUGGGAGGAACACCAGGGGCGAAGGCGGCUCACUGGACCGGAACUGACGCUGAGGCGCGAAAGCGUGAGGAGCAAACAGG
Molecule: ribosomal RNA, 253 nt
Filed under: uncultured bacterium
Lineage: Bacteria
Description: partial 16S ribosomal RNA
Rfam family: Bacterial small subunit ribosomal RNA
Source: RNAcentral